Long non-coding RNA from Lolium perenne, 1357 nucleotides. RefSeq lists it as uncharacterized. The record is from RefSeq and is a predicted model, not a curated record. NCBI's taxonomy places the organism in Eukaryota, Viridiplantae, Streptophyta, Magnoliopsida, Poales, Poaceae.
UCGACUCGUCGCCCGCGUGGAGAUAGUGUCCAUCCCCGAGCUCCAGGCUACUUGUACACAACGUGUUUGUGGUAUUGCCUAAAUGCCCAACUCAAGUGCUGAAGUGGGGAAAAUUCUUUGGAUGCCCAACUCGAGCUGAGAAAUGCUUCCACAUCUGCAUAUUUGGAUGAUUGAACUAUCUACGGUUUUGUGAAUAGUGCUUUUGAAACAAUGUUGUCAUGGCUGGGAUUAAAGUUCUAGCGAUAUAGAUAGAAAUGUUGCUCAAGAUGCUCGAAGGAAUUCAUAACAAUCAAGUUUACAAGGAUUCAACUCCAACAGAUACUGUAAGCUCACAUGCCUGUCUAGAGAACUUUACCCUUCAAUUUUGGGACUUCGGCGGUCUAAGUUCGUAUCCAUUUUCCUGAUGUCAAGUUUUGUAUUAGCUUAGAUUUUUCGUAGUUGAAUAUGUAACAGGUUCUAACUUGUGCCAACGAUUAUUAUUUGCUUGCUGUUGUGGAAACAAACGUUUAUUUAGGCCCUUCUAACCCCCAAGACGCAUUUUUAUUGUGUCUUGUUCUUUCCUAUACAGAGUAUAAUCGAGGUACCCACUCUCUGGUAAUUGCAAAUGUAUGCCUGACAGCUAGGUUAUGCUUGGAGGCAUGAUGUCUCUGUUAAUCCCCCAUAUAAUUUAUAUGAUAUACUCCCAUAGUAGAAAUUAUGUGCAUAACGAUUUGUAAGGUAAAAGGGAAAUUGGUUCUCACAUGUUUUGGUAGUUCGAGGGUUAAACAAUGCUUUUCGUUACAACUCUGGUUUUGUGCUAGUAUCUCCAUUACUAUGUUGGUAUUCAGCUAAUUGUUGAUGGUUGUUGUAUGCAUAUUGAUAUGUCGUACAAGAUAUAUAUGAUGUUUAGGUAAGAUGUCGGGUUUCUCUUCUUUUUCCUUUAUGAGCUUUGCGAUACUCUGGUUGUAAUUGCAUCUAGGCUUUGGUUGUUUGAGGUUCUUAGGCUAGUAUAUUUAUGUACUAAGGUUAAUCCUUUCCUGUACAAGUACGUUUCUAAAUGUUACUCUGAGUCUCUUAUUCUAGCAGAGUACCAACCUGGUCACUUUGUGAAUACAUCUAUUGCUGGCAUGUCCAUCUCCACUGAUCCCUGCCAAACUGAGACAUCAAAUUCGAAUUUCAGCAACAACAGAAACAUGUUAGUGCUCAGAGUACUAGAUGUGCUUCAUUAUCUAGGUUCAGAUUGUUAGGAGAAGAGUCAGAGCCCAAGGAACCAUGAGUUUGGCCAAAUGUCUGAAUUAGUUGAUGCACCUUUGUUUAAGAGUAAUAGUACAGUGCUUAACAUCUGAACUUUGUGGUUCCUAACAAAGCCGGUAGGACU